RNAcentral lists this ribosomal RNA (1244 nucleotides) under metagenome. RNAcentral's name for it is "bacterial LSU rRNA". It matches the Rfam family "Bacterial large subunit ribosomal RNA", at positions 1564 to 2818 of the family's 2925-position model. The record is from RNAcentral.
UGAGUACGAGAUGCUACGGCGUCGAAGCAGUCUAGGUCAUACUUCCAAGAAAAGCUUGCACUGUCAUAAACAAAGAAUGCCUGUACCAUAACCGACACAGGUGGGUAGGUAGAGUAUACUAAGGGGCGCGAGAUAACUCUCUCUAAGGAACUCGGCAAAAUGACUCCGUAACUUCGGGAGAAGGAGUGCCUUAUUUUUAAGGUUGCAAUAACAAGAUCCAAGCAACUGUUUACCAAAAACACAGGUCUCCGCUAAGUCGUAAGACGAUGUAUGGGGGCUGACGCCUGCCCAGUGCCAGAAGGUUAAAGAAGUUGGUUAGCAUUCGCGAAGCUGAUAACUGAAGCCCUGGUGAACGGCGGCCGUAACGAUAACGGUCCUAAGGUAGCGAAAUUCCUUGUCGGGUAAGUUCCGACCCGCACGAAAGGCGUAAUGAUUUGGAUACUGUCUCGGAGAGGGGCUCGGUGAAAUAGACUUGUCUGUGAAGAUGCGGACUACCUGCACCUGGACAGAAAGACCCUAUGAAGCUUUACUGUAACUUGAGAUUGAAAUUGGACUUUAUUUGCGCAGUAUAGGUGGGAGGCGUUGAGAAUAAUCUUGCGGGAUUAUCGGAGCCAUCAGUGAGAUACCACUCUUGUAAUGUUAGAUUUCUAACUUUGUAUCAUUAUCUGGUCAAAGAACAGUUUCAGGCGGGCAGUUUGACUGGGGCGGUCGCCUCCCAAAGGGUAACGGAGGCGCACAAAGGUUUCCUCUGAACGGGUAGAAAUCGUAUCUAGAGUGUAAAGGCAUAAGGAAGCUUGACUGUGAGACCUACAAGUCGAGCAGGGACGAAAGUCGGUCUUAGUGAUCUGACGGUGCUGAGUGGAAAGGCCGUCACUCAACGGAUAAAAGUUACUCUAGGAUAACAGGCUGAUCUCCCCCAAGAGUUCACAUCGACGGGGAGGUUUGGCACCUCGAUGUCGGCUCAUCGCAUCCUGGGGCGGUAGUACGUCCCAAGGGUUGGGCUGUUCGCCCAUGAAAGCGGUACGCGAGCUGGGUUCAGAGCGUCGUGAGACAGUUCGGUCCAUAUCCGGUGUAGGCGUUAGAAUAUUGAAAGGAGCCUUCUCUAGUACGAGAGGACCGAGAAGGACAUACCUCUGGUGUGCCAGUUAUCGUGCCAACGGUAAACGCUGGGUAGCUAUGUAUGGAGUGGAUAACCGCUGAGAGCAUCUAAGUGGGAAGCCCACCUUAAGAUAAGUAUUCUCAUG